GAUGAACGCUGGCGGCGUGCCUAAUACAUGCAAGUCGAGCGAACGGACGAGAAGCUUGCUUCUCUGAUGUUAGCGGCGGACGGGUGAGUAACACGUGGAUAACCUACCUAUAAGACUGGGAUAACUUCGGGAAACCGUAGCUAAUACCGGAUAAUAUUUUGAACCGCAUGGUUCAAAAGUGAAAGACGGUCUUGCUGUCACUUAUAGAUGGAUCCGCGCUGCAUUAGCUAGUUGGUAAGGUAACGGCUUACCAAGGCAACGAUGCAUAGCCGACCUGAGAGGGUGAUCGGCCACACUGGAACUGAGACACGGUCCAGACUCCUACGGGAGGCAGCAGUAGGGAAUCUUCCGCAAAGGGCGAAAGCCUGACGGAGCAACGCCGCGUGAGUGAUGAAGGUCUUCGGAUCGUAAGACUCUGUUAUUAGGGAAGAACAUAUGUGUAAGUAACUGUGCACAUCUUGACGGUACCUAAUCAGAAAGCCACGGCUAACUACGUG
This 497-nucleotide ribosomal RNA is filed under the name uncultured bacterium. Its description in RNAcentral is "partial 16S ribosomal RNA". It matches the Rfam family "Bacterial small subunit ribosomal RNA", at positions 28 to 507 of the family's 1533-position model. The record is from RNAcentral.